UUGCCUAUGCAUUGCAGUUGUGCUGCUUUAAAAAAGAAUGCAAAGUAGCUUCUGCUUUGAGCGCAUUUUGUGCACUCCACAGAGGAGCGUGUAAUUAAAACAUGAAAAACAUGUUUAGCAGCACUCUCAAAUGUCCGGAUUUGGGAGUCAGACAUGCUGUUGAUGCCAAAUGACAUGCAAUCGUAAAAAAAAAAAGAUAUGGUAGUGUUCUAGUGGCUGGGCGAACACUGAAGGAAAGCACAGAUGGGGGAAUUUAUUCCUCUGUAAUGUGGCCCAAAUCUAAUCCUCAUUUCUUCACAACUGCUCCUUUCCUCUCCUGUGUUUUUGUCUAUUGGUGCCUUUAUAUUUUAUUCCCCGAGGUUAUAUCUCUCCGCUUUCAACUGUGCCUCGUUUUUGUUUGUUUUCUUUGUUCCUAUAUUUUAAAGUCAAUUUUUCAUGUCUGCUUCUAUGUGUUGGUAUGUUUUCAUGUUUUGGUCCCUUUAUUUUCUUAUAUUUUCCUUCCUCUCGCUCUCUCUAUGUUACACUUUGAGUCAUAUACUAUGUUUGUUGCAUUUCUUUCUCUCGAAAAUUGUCAUCUUGCUCUAGUUAGUUUCAUUCUUCUUUUCAAGUUAUUUAACAUGUUUGCUUUUGUUUGACAACAAUCGCUCCCGCUGUACACGACAGUUGCGCUUGGCCGAUACCAAUGGUAUAUACUCACCUGUGGAGUUUUGCGCAAUGCAGUAAUGCUUAGAAAGCUUCACUGUGAAGGUGAUAAAGACAUCAUGUGCUGGUUCAUGAAAUAGACUUUUUGCAAGUGAACUUCAAUUUCCGACAGUAUAAACAGCCUCUUUGUUACAAUAGCUUGGCAGACAUGCUUACCUUCAAGAAACAGUGUACAUAACUCUUUGCGCAACUAAUCAUUGCGUCAGCUGUGAUGUCGUGCACAUGUAGGUGGACGGUCUAAAACACUAGGUGGGUAGCAUUUCUGGAACCCUCGGCUGCAGGUUCCCUCAAUCAUGUCGUGGUUUUGCAAUGUUUAAGCCCCUACCAAUAGUUAAGUUUAGAUGGCAUGCGAUUCAUUUUGUUGCCCAAUAUUCAGAUUUCUAGGGUGCUGCAGCCAAAAUGAUCUGGGCAAAGAAAAUAAAGACCGCUCACAAUUGUGCUGAAAUAAAGUAGAAAAUUUAUCAGCGAUACAGUAUGCACAAUACAUUCUUACAGCAAGGGUUUUGUUUUCAGGUGUCCUUGUUGAGAAACGAUUUAAGAACCUGCGUGAUAUCUUCAAAAAGAAACAACACGACAUACGUGAAAAAACAAAGAAGUGGAGCCGGAGCAGCCGACAUUCCAACAAUAAAAUGGCCCCAUUUUGAGGCCAUGCUUGAAUUAAUGGAAGGAGAGUCUGAGCCUGUGGCAUCACCGCCUCGGCCAAGACAUGCAGCGGAACCGGAACGUACCCCUGAUACGGCUGAGGAGACUCGUGUCGACACCUGCAGCAAUGAGUAAAACCUUUAUGAAUCCACCUAAGUAAUGACAAAUGAAGGGCAUGCAUAGAUAGCCAAUCUAUUAAAUCUUAAAAACAUGCAUGUUCUAGCACAUUUGAAGAAUGUGCCUAAUGUUUUUUUUU
RNAcentral lists this unclassified non-coding RNA (1600 nucleotides) under Rhipicephalus microplus (southern cattle tick). Its description in RNAcentral is "uncharacterized LOC119166673, transcript variant X1". Lineage: Eukaryota; Metazoa; Arthropoda; Arachnida; Ixodida; Ixodidae. The record is from RNAcentral.